GAGUUUGAUCCUGGCUCAGAGCGAACGCUGGCGGCAGGCUUAACACAUGCAAGUCGAGCGGAUUCUGGCAGAGUAUCGUCAGAGUUAGCGGCAGACGGGUGAGUAAUGUUUAGGUAAUCUUCCCUCAUGUGGGAAACAACCGGUCGAAAGGCUGGCUAAUGUCCCAUAAGACCACAGGAUGGCAUCAUCAAGGGGUCAAAGCUCCGCAAGGGGCGCAAGAGGAGGAACUUAAAACCUAUCAGGUAGUUGGUGAGGUAACGGCUCACCAAGCCUACGACGGGUAGCCGGCCUGAAAGGGUGAUCGGCCACACUGGCACUGAGACACGGGCCAGACUCCUACGGGAGGCAGCAGUGGGGAAUUUUGGACAAUGGGGGCAACCCUGAUCCAGCGACGCCGCGUGAAGGAUGAAGGCCU
RNAcentral lists this ribosomal RNA (415 nucleotides) under uncultured spirochete. RNAcentral describes it as "bacterial SSU rRNA". It matches the Rfam family "Bacterial small subunit ribosomal RNA", at positions 9 to 417 of the family's 1533-position model. Lineage: Bacteria; Pseudomonadati; Spirochaetota; Spirochaetia; Spirochaetales. The record is from RNAcentral.